Molecule: long non-coding RNA, 2383 nt
Filed under: Nicotiana benthamiana
Lineage: Eukaryota; Viridiplantae; Streptophyta; Magnoliopsida; Solanales; Solanaceae
Description: long non-coding RNA (NBEN_LNC006896)
Source: RNAcentral
GUCCAUGAACUUAUCAUAACUUCCCAUAUAACUGUCUGAAGUCGUCCCCUUCCCCCCGGGUUCAGUUAAAUUUCUCUCGUUACACCCUCUUUAGAGACACCUAACCCUACCUGUCCCUAAAUGCUAAUUCUCGCCGGUCGGUGGCCCCACCCCUAACCCGUCCCAAAUUAGCACCAUAUGACCCUGAACCUCUUUUCUUCAAAAAUCCAGAAACACUUGCCCUCGAAUCCCCCUACAGCUCUUCAAAUUUUAAAUCUAAGUUGAAGAGCCAAACGCUAAAAUUCCAAAACUCUCAAAUCGAGAUUUCAGUAAAGGAUUAGGGUCAAAAUUGACGUUAUUCGUGUGUUUCCAACGCGAACACACGAUUAAUAUCAAUCUUUGUCAAAAAGUCUAAAGGUCUUGAGGACAAUUGAUGUUCUUUGCCCAUCUGCCUAUGUGUAGGUAUUUUUUUUGGCCAUCCUCUUUUUCUUACUUUAUCUUAUUUCUGUUCUCACUAAUCUCUUCUAUUUUUUUUUGUUUUUUUUCCCGUUCCACAAACCCUUCUGCUAUGCAUGAUAAUGUUUAAGCUUGUUGUAGUCCACAUUUUGUUUCCUUUUUAUUUUUUUUCUUUCUCACUACUAUUCUCUUUCGAAUUAGUUUUCUUUCCAUGUUAAUAAUUUAUAACUUGUUAGUUUAUGUUUGUUUUUAAUUUUUGUGUUACUUCCAAUUAAUCCAUGCUUUUGUUUAUUACAUUUUCUUUUAAGGAAAAUAACACUGAUUUUGCGUAUUCUAUUUAGUCUAUUAUUCUAUGGGUUUUGAGUAUAAUUUAUGCUUGGGCUAUGCAAAUCAGAAGCCCAAAGGAAAGGGGAUUAGCUCUGGUCUUGCAAGCCAUGUCAGUUUAACCUUGGGUUUUUGACCCUGUUGGUUCUUGAAGUAAAAACAGGGAGUUUAAGGGUUAGUUUAGGAAAUUUAGACUAUGGAAUCUAUUGUAACUGAUGUGACGACCCCACCAGUCUUCUUAAGGAUUAAUGUCUUGAUCCUCUAUUAACUACUUUACUCAAGUUUAAUUCUGCUAAUUUAAUUUGCGGAGAUGCUCUAUUUUGAGUUUCGGAGAGUUUUGCGGCAUUUAGACCCUAAAUGAGAAUUUAAGUAUUGGAAACUCUACGGUAGUCGGAAUAGUGAGAAGAUGACCUCAGAAUGGAAAUCUGAUGGUUCAGUUAGCUUCAUUGGGUGAUUUUGGUGUUAGGAGAGUGUUCAGAUAAUGUUUUGGAGGUCCGUAGCUGAUUUAAGCUCGAAAUGCCGAAAGUUGAAUUUUAGAAGUCUCCGGUCCGAUAGCGAAAUUUUGAUUCAAAGGCUGGAAUGGAAUUCCUAGAGUUGCACCAACUCCAUCAUGUCAUUUUGGAUGUGUGUAAAAUUUUGAUUAUUCGAAGAUGGUCUAGUUUGAUUUUUGAUUGAAAGCAUUUUUUGAGAAAAGUUGAGUUCUUAUGCUUAAAUGCUUGAUUAAUUCGAGUUUCUAAUGUUAUUUUAGGUGGUUUAAUGAUUGGUACAAGUUUGAAUGAGGUAUUAGGUGUUAUUGGUGCUUCUGGUUGAGGUCCCGAGAGCAUCGGUAUGAUUUCAGAUGGUUGACGGGAGGGUUGAAGAAGUGUGCAACAAUUGUAGCAUUUGUUGCUUCUAGUAUUUUUGCAUAUGGGGGCUGGGAACCACAGAUGCAGUGCAACAGAAGUGGCUUUGGUCCAUUCCUUCAGAAAUCGCAAAUGCGGUGUGAGGUCCACAGAAGCGGACCCAUAUGAGUGGUUAGAGGUCUGCAGAUGCAAAAAUUGGACUUUUAAGUGUGGGUCGCAGAUGUGACAUUUGGUUCGCAGAAGUGAGACCGCAGAUGCGGUCCCAGGGCCGCAAAUGAGGUCCCAGGGCCGCAAAUGCGGAAGUAGCUGGGCAGAUCAUAUAAAUAGUUGCCUUUGUGAAAAUUGGCUAUUCUUCAACCAUUUUUAUUCGGAUUUGAAGCGUCUAAGAGAAAUUUUUGGGGAAAUCAAAGGGAAAUUACUUGGAGGUAAUGUCCUUGACUUCAUAAUUCGUUUUUAUGUGAUUAAAUACCUUAUUAGUGGUGAGAAAUUUGAGAAAAAUGAGUAAUCAAUGUUUGAAUUUAAGAGGCCUUAAAAUGAGGAUUUUAAGGGUCAUUUGGACUCUGAUUUUUGUGUUCUUCUUAUGAAUAGAUCGUGAGAGUAUGAGGUUUAUGAAAAUAUAAAUUUCACCCGAUUCCUAAAUUUUGGCCUGAGGGGCAUUUUGGUCAUUUUUCAUUAUUUUGCAUAUAACUUAGAAUUGAUUAAAACGUCAAUUAUUUGAGGUGUUAUUUGCAAUAUGCAAUUGAAUUGAAUAGAUUUGGGCCCUUUGGAGUCGCAUACUCGAG